This 497-nucleotide ribosomal RNA is filed under the name uncultured bacterium. Its description in RNAcentral is "partial 16S ribosomal RNA". It matches the Rfam family "Bacterial small subunit ribosomal RNA", at positions 28 to 507 of the family's 1533-position model. The record is from RNAcentral.
GAUGAACGCUGGCGGCGUGCCUAUUACAUGCAAGUCGAGCGAACGGACGAGAAGCUUGCUUCUCUGAUGUUAGCGGCGGACGGGUGAGUAACACGUGGAUAACCUACCUAUAAGACUGGGAUAACUUCGGGAAACCGGAGCUAAUACCGGAUAAUAUUUUGAACCGCAUGGUUCAAAAGUGAAAGACGGUCUUGCUGUCACUUAUAGAUGGAUCCGCGCUGCAUUAGCUAGUUGGUAAGGUAACGGCUUACCAAGGCAACGAUGCAUAGCCGACCUGAGAGGGUGAUCGGCCACACUGGAACUGAGACACGGUCCAGACUCCUACGGGAGGCAGCAGUAGGGAAUCUUCCGCAAUGGGCGAAAGCCUGACGGAGCAACGCCGCGUGAGUGAUGAAGGUCUUCGGAUCGUAAAACUCUGUUAUUAGGGAAGAACAUAUGUGUAAGUAACUGUGCACAUCUUGACGGUACCUAAUCAGAAAGCCACGGCUAACUACGUG